Molecule: long non-coding RNA, 955 nt
Filed under: Brassica rapa (field mustard)
Lineage: Eukaryota; Viridiplantae; Streptophyta; Magnoliopsida; Brassicales; Brassicaceae
Description: long non-coding RNA (BRAP_LNC002130)
Source: RNAcentral
CAUUGUGCUCUACCAAACUCACAAAUUGAAAUCUUUAUAUAUUUUUUAUAUCUUUAACACGAAAACUGAGGUUGCUUUACAAAUCUUACAAAAAAACAUAAAUAUUCGCAUAACAAGAAGCCGAACUACUUUAAUUUAAGAAGAAAAUGAACUACUGAAAAGGUGAUAAUGUAUCAAAAGCUAAAGAUACCAAACAGAUUUGAAGAAGAAAAGCUUUCCACUCCUAAAACGUCGAAGAUAGUCGCCGUAUCUGAGCAGGAAAAAUAGGUUUCUUCUCCUCCCUCACCAUAACCUCAACAAUGGCCACAGUAGCCUUGGCCGCCACAACGCCCGCCGGCGAAACGACCACCAACAUUAAGACCACGACCACGUCCGAUGAAGAAACGAAGUAAACGGUCAUCGCUAUACUGACCACCACCAUUGAAGAAACGACCAAAACGGUCAUCGGUCUCCUGACCAGGACCACCGGAAACACGACCAAAACGGUCAAAGGUCUCCUGACCACGACCAGGACCAAAUAAAAACCGAUCAUAACGCUCCUGACCAGGACCAUCUGAAAAACGACCAAAAUGGUCAUUACUAUACCUUUGAUCAGAUUCCUGGCCAAAAGAGGAUUCAUCGAUAGACAUGUUAUCUGCCUCGGCUUUUUCACUAAUCGAUGAUAUCAACAAAUCCAUCCUUUCUUCCAUCUUUUGAAGACGACAAUCCAUAUUUUCUUGGAUCGUCUUCAGACGAUCAGACAAUCCUUGCAAUAUCUCCAUCACAUCAGAUAUUUUCUUCUCAUCCAUGUCUUUCUUAUGUUUCUCCAAAUCAUCUUUCUGCUCUCUACGAACUUCCUCUAGAUGCGUUGUUGCCUCGAUCACAGUAGGAUCUGCUUCAGCAGGGGUGACCGACUUAUUGUCCAUGGAGGAUAUAUAUGAGACUAACGAGUUAAAAAUGAGAAAUGGAGAACGGU